Molecule: long non-coding RNA, 569 nt
Organism: Suricata suricatta (meerkat)
Lineage: Eukaryota; Metazoa; Chordata; Mammalia; Carnivora; Herpestidae
Exons: 2
Source: RefSeq, a predicted model, not a curated record
AUGGAAAUAUAAUUAAAUAAAACCCCAUGUCAGGUAAAUGGACAUAAUGGACCUCCUCAUAUUCACAUCAGAGUAAUUUUGUGAUAGGUGGUAUUCUUCAUUCAAACCACAGCUGAAAUUGCAUUAUAGGAAGACAGCAUCUUCAACAUAGUGGCGAACACACUUUAUUGUUGAAAUAUACACAUUUUCAGUGCCACCUAUUGGUAGAACAAAGAGAUUUACAUGCAAUUCUUGCUUUUACAUAUUUGUAGUAAUGGGUAAUGUAUGAGUAGUGAACAAAAUGUACCUUAAAAGUGUGAACUAUUUUGGAAUGGUUUGAUAAAUUGAUAUUUGGUUUGUCAACUGGAUUAUACAUAUGAGAAACUGCUGGCAAUUUAAGUAGUUGAAUGAAUAUAGUAAACAUUUUGUGCAUACAUUAUUAUAAAAAUGUUUGCAUGGAGAAAGUCUUACAUAAAAUUUGAGGUAAGUUUGAUAGACUGGUCUUAAUUUUCUUGGGAUAAAGUAUAACUACUGCUUGAUUUAAUAACCAUGCAUUUUUUGGACAAAUAAAAUAUUGUACUUCUUUGUGA